This 208-nucleotide non-coding RNA is filed under the name Segatella oulorum F0390. RNAcentral describes it as "Prevotella oulorum F0390 Bacterial small subunit ribosomal RNA". It matches the Rfam family "Bacterial small subunit ribosomal RNA", at positions 1 to 197 of the family's 1533-position model. Lineage: Bacteria; Pseudomonadati; Bacteroidota; Bacteroidia; Bacteroidales; Prevotellaceae. The record is from Rfam by way of RNAcentral.
ACAAUGGAGAGUUUGAUCCUGGCUCAGGAUGAACGCUAGCUACAGGCUUAACACAUGCAAGUCGAGGGGAAACGAUGAGAGAGCUUGCUCUCUCAGGCGUCGACCGGCGCACGGGUGAGUAACGCGUAUCCAACCUGCCCAUUACAGGGGAAUAACCUUGACGAAAGUAAGAACUAAUGCCCAUGGUAUUCUCAGCAGACAUCUAAUG